This 576-nucleotide ribosomal RNA is filed under the name uncultured Lachnospiraceae bacterium. RNAcentral describes it as "bacterial SSU rRNA". It matches the Rfam family "Bacterial small subunit ribosomal RNA", at positions 80 to 673 of the family's 1533-position model. Lineage: Bacteria; Bacillati; Bacillota; Clostridia; Lachnospirales; Lachnospiraceae. The record is from RNAcentral.
UUCCUAUAUGACUGAGUGGCGGACGGGUGAGUAACGCGUGGGGAACCUGCCCUAUACAGGGGGAUAACAGCUGGAAACAGCUGCUAAUACCGCAUAAGCGCACAGAAUCGCAUGAUUCAGUGUGAAAAGCCCUGGCAGUAUAGGAUGGUCCCGCGUCUGAUUAGCUGGUUGGUGAGGUAACGGCUCACCAAGGCGACGAUCAGUAGCCGGCUUGAGAGAGUGAACGGCCACAUUGGGACUGAGACACGGCCCAAACUCCUACGGGAGGCAGCAGUGGGGAAUAUUGCACAAUGGGGGAAACCCUGAUGCAGCGACGCCGCGUGAGUGAAGAAGUAUUUCGGUAUGUAAAGCUCUAUCAGCAGGGAAGAAAACAGACGGUACCUGACUAAGAAGCCCCGGCUAACUACGUGCCAGCAGCCGCGGUAAUACGUAGGGGGCAAGCGUUAUCCGGAAUUACUGGGUGUAAAGGGUGCGUAGGUGGCAUGGUAAGUCAGAAGUGAAAGCCCGGGGCUUAACCCCGGGACUGCUUUUGAAACUGUCAUGCUGGAGUGCAGGAGAGGUAAGCGGAAUUCCUAG